Molecule: unclassified non-coding RNA, 220 nt
Filed under: Hevea brasiliensis (rubber tree)
Lineage: Eukaryota; Viridiplantae; Streptophyta; Magnoliopsida; Malpighiales; Euphorbiaceae
Source: RNAcentral
GCCCGAGUACGCGGUCAGGCCCAGAUCCGAGACGAUGAACCACUGCGUCGCCAGCGAACUUGAAUCGUCGUCGCCGCCGGAGCCUGGCCCCUUGGCGGCGGGCGGCAUGCNNNNNNNUGUCGCCGACAGCCUGAUCGACCGGGAAUGCGGUGACCACGUCGGCGUUGAGUGUGGCGGCAGUCGCGACCUCUCCGGUCCAGACCUUGACGCCCUUCUCGUU